GAUGUCUGGGCCGCACGCGCGCUACACUGUUGCAUUCAACGAGCCUAUCCUUGACCGAGAGGUCCGGGUAAUCUUUGAAACUGCAACGUGAUGGGGAUAGAUUAUUGCAAUUAUUAGUCUUCAACGAGGAAUGCCUAGUAAGCGCGAGUCAUCAGCUCGCGUUGAUUACGUCCCUGCCCUUUGUACACACCGCCCGUCGCUCCUACCGAUUGGGUGUGCUGGUGAAGUGUUCGGAUUGGUUUUAGUUGAUGGCAACAUUGGCUUUUACUGAGAAGAUCAUUAAACCCUCCCACCUAGAGGAAGGAGAAGUCGUAACAAGGUUUCCGUAGGUGAACCUGCGGAAGGAUCAUUG
This 352-nucleotide ribosomal RNA is filed under the name Microglena sp. CCCryo309-06. RNAcentral's name for it is "SSU rRNA". It matches the Rfam family "Eukaryotic small subunit ribosomal RNA", at positions 1476 to 1831 of the family's 1831-position model. Lineage: Eukaryota; Viridiplantae; Chlorophyta; Chlorophyceae; Chlamydomonadales; Chlamydomonadaceae. The record is from RNAcentral.